UACGAAGGGGGCUAGCGUUACUCGGAUUGACUGGGCGUAAAGGGCGCGUAGGCGGUUCGUACAGUCAGACGUGAAAUUCCUGGGCUCAACCUGGGGGCUGCGUUUGAUACGUGCGGGCUUGAGUUCGGAAGAGGGUCGUGGAAUUCCCAGUGUAGAGGUGAAAUUCGUAGAUAUUGGGAAGAACACCGGUGGCGAAGGCGGCGACCUGGUCCGAUACUGACGCUGAGGCGCGAAAGCGUGGGUAGCAAACAGG
Molecule: ribosomal RNA, 253 nt
Filed under: uncultured bacterium
Lineage: Bacteria
Description: partial 16S ribosomal RNA
Rfam family: Bacterial small subunit ribosomal RNA
Source: RNAcentral